Molecule: ribosomal RNA, 253 nt
Filed under: uncultured bacterium
Lineage: Bacteria
Description: partial 16S ribosomal RNA
Rfam family: Bacterial small subunit ribosomal RNA
Source: RNAcentral
UACGGGGGGGGUAAGGGUUGUUCGGAAUUACUGGGCGUAAAGGGCUCGUAGGCGGCCAACUAAGUCAGACGUGAAAUCCCUCAGCUUAACUGGGGAACUGCGUCUGAUACUGGAUGGCUUGGAUUCGGGAGAGGAAUGCGGAAUUCCAGGUGUAGCGGUGAAAUGCGUAGAUAUCUGGAGGAACACCGGUGGCGAAGGCGGCAUUCUGGACCGAUAUUGACGCUGAGGAGCGAAAGCCAGGGGAGCAAACGGG